RNAcentral lists this ribosomal RNA (323 nucleotides) under uncultured fungus. Lineage: Eukaryota; Fungi. The record is from RNAcentral.
UCGAUCUCAAAUCAGGUAGGAUUACCCGCUGAACUUAAGCAUAUCAAUAAGCGGAGGAAAAGAAACUAACAAGGAUUCCCCUAGUAACUGCGAGUGAAGCGGGAAGAGCUCAAAUUUAAAAUCCGGCGUGCCUUUGGUCGUCCGAGUUGUAGUCUGGAGAAGCGUCUUCCGUGUUGGACCGUGUACAAGUCUCUUGGAACAGGGCGUCAUAGAGGGUGAGAAUCCCGUCUUUGACACGGACUACCAAUGCUUUGUGAUGCGCUCUCAAAGAGUCGAGUUGUUUGGGAAUGCAGCUCAAAAUGGGUGGUAAAUUCCAUCUAAAG